RNAcentral lists this transfer RNA (47 nucleotides) under Raniceps raninus (tadpole fish). Its description in RNAcentral is "partial tRNA-Val". The record is from RNAcentral. Lineage: Eukaryota; Metazoa; Chordata; Actinopteri; Gadiformes; Gadidae.
CAUCUCCCUUACACCGAGAAGUCGUCUGUGCAAAUCAGACUGCCCUG